Molecule: non-coding RNA, 336 nt
Organism: Paramuricea clavata
Lineage: Eukaryota; Metazoa; Cnidaria; Anthozoa; Malacalcyonacea; Plexauridae
Source: the annotation of a GenBank genome assembly
CGUUUGUGCGAGUCGUCGAAAUAUCGAAUGUGAUUAGGCCGAGGGGAGAGAAGUCAUAGACAUUAAUUCAACACUGCAAUAAUACCACGUACACCUAUCAGUAUAACUGCUAUUCAAUUUCUGUCCAACCUCAGGUUUUGUCUGUGGAAACGGUAAGAAGUAUAUUUGAUUUGUUAGCUAAUAAUCAAGGCAUGCCCAGACAUUCAAUGAAGACUGUUAUUGUAGUUAAAUAAUAACAAAGCCCCCCGGGAUUGUUAUGUUAUCCAUGUAGCCCUAGUUCAACUGGAGUUCUGUCCAACGAAGCUGCAGCUUGAAGUCGGCAGUCAUUUACUGAUU